AGCAGCACACAACGGGGGCAUGUCAGCCACGCCGUCACGGGCACCCUCGAGUCGCACCACGAGGCGGGUCUCUUUUUUUCAUGUGUCAAGCGACCUUAAAACGCCGUUGAGCAUAGCCCGGUCAAAGACGAUGUCGGACACAUCAUCGCACAAGUCAACGAAGGACGCAGAGGGGGAGAGGGCACGUCGAUGUGCAAACGCACUGAGGCAGGAGGGCACCACUACUACUGCUGCUGCUUCGGCGGCGCUGGACUCGCCAUCGGCCGCAGUCGAGACCCAUGCUUCACAGCCGACAACUGCCUCUCGCUGUACUCGUGGUGCGAGCAGCUCGCGCCUCUCAUGCCAGCCCCUUUCCGAGGAGUACCAGCGCUGGAAAAUCGAAUCGCCUUCUGCAAGCCGCGUUACAAUGGAGCUGGAGUUCUCCCUGGAGAAUACGCCGCUGGCAGGCGCAAGGCCUCCUCCAGUCUGGUGCGAAUCAUCGCCAUGCACGGCUCCUCGUGGCAGCCGGAACUCCCUCGCCAACUCCUCUACCCCUUCUAGGAGGAUCACAACGCUGAGCGACGCCAGGAACAGCGUAUCCACGCCUGGGAGCAACCCGUACACGGAUGUGGAACGGGAGAUAUCAAACCAGAGACGGCGCCACGCUGUGGUGCGGUACUUCUUCGUAUCCCACGAGGGCGCCAUUCGGCUCAACAUCCGGCUGCAGCAGCUUUUGAAGUACCGCGAUCUCUGCGAAGCCGAGAUGCACGAGCGCCUACAGGUGCUACCGCCUGAGGCGGCAAGUGUUGCUGCGCGCUCCACCGCCCGUUGUGGCCGUGCGACUGAGACUGAGCGCGAAAUCGAGCGAGUGCAGGCAGCUCUUGCGCACCUAGCUGCCUCCUCGCUGGAGCUUGCGGGGACUUUGGAGGGCAUGGGCGGCUUGUUCACGCCAUUGCAGUCGGCGCCGCGUUCCCAUCAAACAGCAACCGCAAUCCAUAGCAAUCACACCCCCUCCGCAGCUGACGUUGAGCAUGCAGGAGAGAGAGGCGCCAAGAGUGGCGGGCGAUCUGUCAAUGAAGGCAUCCUCGCCGCCACCAAGAAGGCAGGCGAGAAGAAGCCCCCAGUCCAACAGCCAUUAGACACCUCAGAAUCAUCCAUAACGACAAGCGUCUCCACCGCAUUUGAGGCGGGCGGCAGCUACUCACUCGUGGAGUCUCCGAGGACCUCUACAGUGGACGAAGCGGCAAAGCAGCGUCCGCCGUCGAAGUCACACAUAGCCGUGGCGGCGGGACGCAACAGUCGAAAGAGCGACCUGCCGAGCGUAGAGCGGACGGCAAGGAGCGCAGAACCUUCGCAGACGGAGAGUGCCGGAGUAACGGGGAGUCACGGCAUCACGCCACGCAACAGCACCGUCGCAUCUGAUUUUAUGCGCGCCUCCAUUGUGGCAACACCGAAGGUAGCGGUCGAGACUGCUGCAGCAACAGACACGAAGACGCGGCCAGGCCAGCCGCCUUUCUCUUCCCCGCGAAGGAAGGCAUCGAGCACAACAGACAACGAGGGAAAAGAGGUAGCUGCUGCCAAGGCUACGCCACCGCGGUGCAUGGUCAUCGAUUGUACCAGUGUCUCCACUCCAGGGAGGGAUCAUCGCACGACAGAGUCGUGGCUGCGCCAAGCCGCUGCAUCACAUCACCUUGCCUCGGCACCUCCACAACAACCACCGUCGUCGCUCUGUUCCACGAAAGCCACCGUGCCAUCAGCAGCAUCGGUCAAACCGCAGUACCCGAGCGGCAUCACCGCGCCGCGGGCUAAGGCUUUCGCAGUAACUCCAGAUCGCCGGACCCAGGCGCGCACGCAGGGGCAACCGGCAUCGUCGUCUCUGACGGACUCGCCGCUGACACGCUACCGCGCCAAGCAAGGCUACCGAAAUCCAGAAAGUCACUUCUGUUCGCAGCUCGCAGACGCUCCUCGACAAGGUGCUUCUGCUACGCACAACCCACUACCACGGGCAGCGACCACCGGUGAGCCGAGUGGAGCGCAGGAUCGAGAGAAGAGCAAAGGCCCUGUGACUGCCACGCGGGCUUCCGGUGCGACGAGACAUGCCACCCUGCACGAAGAUCAGGCCACACUCACGCAGGAGCGGAGGCGACUCGGACCUGUGAAGAAUGAGGGAAGCCCCGACACAUCUCAAGACAGGUCUGCUGCCCAAUCGCAGGACAAAACGCCGACGUCGACGGGGCGAUGGCCCGGUACACCCUGCGCCCGAGCAGCGAAGUCCUCCUCGACGCCGUCGCCGAGUCCAAGCGAAUCGAAGGUACCGGCUCACAAGCCGCUCUUUGAGAGCUUUCGUUCCAGGGCUGCUUCAGCCGGAUCCUCGCCGCCGCCGCACUCGCGUGCCUCCGAUGUACCUACGCUGGGACAGUCGACAGAAUCCACCGCUGUUGCCUCCUCUACAAUCCCUUCUCAUCCCCCAACAAGCACCUCACACCCGUCAACAUCUGAUGCUCGGCAGCAAUCGUCAAAGCCCCCCACGGCAUCGGCUUCUGCGCUUGGCGGGGGGAGUGUAACACCAUCUACGAAUGCCUCGGCGGCACACGCGCUGACCGGCUCAGCGAUGUCGGUAAUGGACUGGAAUGUGCCAUCGCGAGCACCAGGAGUGGCGGGGUCACCGCCGCCGUCAGCGUCAUCGGCCUCGGUACCGCCGAACAAAGAGCUGCCCUCCGACGAGAUGGCCUCUUGGUCCCCUGCCGAUUCUGCCGUUGCGCCCGCCGGCGGUGCAGUGAGUCUCUCAGAUGUCGAGUCGUGGCCCGCCGGCGAGCAACAAGAAGCAGAAAAGAACGCUGAGGUCAGUGCAGGCGCCCUGCUGCGAGGAAGCACGCGUGAAAGAAGUGCCGAGCCGCGCAUGGAUGGGUGCCAUUCAAUCUGGGGCAACAUUAGAGCGCUUGAGAGCCGUGUCGGGGACCUGGAGAGCCGCACCACGGCGCUGGAGAAGAAUGCGGAGAAGCGCGCAGUGCUGGAGGUCAUUGGGCACCUGAAGGCGCGCGUCGGUGUGUUGGAGCAGCGCACCACCUUACUAGAGCAGCAGUCGAGCGCUUCACAUCUGCGCAUCCACUGGGAGAAGCCGUAGCCUAUUUUCCUCUUUUUUUUGUGGGGGGCUAGACGGGGUGGGGCACGAGAUGCAACGCUACGGCUGUCUGUACCACAGCCUCAACAAGGUCGUUGGAGCACGUGACGUGUGCAGUCUUGUCCUCCCUCUCCGCUCCUUCUCAUUUUCCUCACGCCUGCGGCUAGUGUUGCCUUUGGGUGCGUUUACAUGUUUUUACGUUUCUGUGCCCCUCGGAUGGCGGUGUCAUUGAUAUGCCUCGCUGCUAUCUUGUGUCUCUUCCGCUCCCCCUCUCUUACACUUUUGCCUGUUCGUGUGGCAGUGCAGAGUAUGCUUCGCAGAGACGUUUCGGGGAAGAGAUGCGCGCUUGGAAAGGGAGGGCCUUAGUAUGGCGCUUCCGCUUUCCUUGCUGCCUCUGUCGUUCCCCCCUCUGUGCAUCGCGCGGCGUCGUCGGUGGUGGCAGGCUUCCUUAUCUCUCCUCGUUUGUGCUAUCGUGCCGGUGUCUGUGAGUGUUUCGUUGUAUGUCCCCUGAACACACACCCUCCGUUCUUCCGGUGUGCGUCGUCCGCGACGGAUCAUCUCCUCUUGGUUCACUCUUCCUCUCCUCGCUCUCUUUACUAGGACUACUACCCAGUUGUGUCUUAUACGAAUCUGACGCCUUCUGUGAGGAAGGCGUCAAGCUAUCG
This 3765-nucleotide unclassified non-coding RNA is filed under the name Leishmania donovani. Its description in RNAcentral is "gene:LdHU3.31.2170(CDS-product:hypothetical_prote in_conserved)". The record is from RNAcentral. Lineage: Eukaryota; Euglenozoa; Kinetoplastea; Trypanosomatida; Trypanosomatidae.